GGGUUGUGAGGUUAAGCGACUAAGCGUACACGGUGGAUGCCCUGGCAGUCAGAGGCGAUGAAGGACGUGCUAAUCUGCGAUAAGCGCCGGUAAGGUGAUAUGAACCGUUAUAACCGGCGAUUUCCGAAUGGGGAAACCCAGUGUGAUUCGUCACACUAUCAUUAACUGAAUCCAUAGGUUAAUGAGGCGAACCGGGGGAACUGAAACAUCUAAGUACCCCGAGGAAAAGAAAUCAACCGAGAUUCCCCCAGUAGCGGCGAGCGAACGGGGAGGAGCCCAGAGCCUGAAUCAGCAUGUGUGUUAGUGGAAGCGUCUGGAAAGGCGCGCGAUACAGGGUGACAGCCCCGUACACAAAAGCGCAUGUGCUGUGAGCUCGAUGAGUAGGGCGGGACACGUGGUAUCCUGUCUGAAUAUGGGGGGACCAUCCUCCAAGGCUAAAUACUCCUGACUGACCGAUAGUGAACCAGUACCGUGAGGGAAAGGCGAAAAGAACCCCGGCGAGGGGAGUGAAAAAGAACCUGAAACCGUGUACGUACAAGCAGUGGGAGCACAGGUUUACCUGUGUGACUGCGUACCUUUUGUAUAAUGGGUCAGCGACUUAUAUUCUGUAGCAAGGUUAACCGUAUAGGGGAGCCGGAGGGAAACCGAGUCUUAAC
This 656-nucleotide ribosomal RNA is filed under the name Salmonella enterica subsp. enterica serovar Bareilly. Its description in RNAcentral is "partial 23S ribosomal RNA". It matches the Rfam family "Bacterial large subunit ribosomal RNA", at positions 1 to 688 of the family's 2925-position model. Lineage: Bacteria; Pseudomonadati; Pseudomonadota; Gammaproteobacteria; Enterobacterales; Enterobacteriaceae. The record is from RNAcentral.